GCCGCGGUUCCCGAGCCAGGACCAAGGGGCCAGACUCGAGAUCUGGUGUCUCUCCGAGACCCGCAGGUUCAAAUCCUGCCCGCGGCG
Molecule: transfer RNA, 87 nt
Filed under: Thermoproteota archaeon
Lineage: Archaea; Thermoproteati; Thermoproteota
Also listed under: 1 other name
Description: tRNA-Ser
Rfam family: tRNA
About the family: Transfer RNA (tRNA) molecules are approximately 80 nucleotides in length.
Source: RNAcentral